CCUACGGGCGGCUGCAGUGGGGGAUAUUGCACAAUGGAGGAAACUCUGAUGCAGCGACGCCGCGUGAGGGAAGAAGGUUUUCUGAUUGUAAACCUCUGUCUUUAGGGGAGAAAAUGACGGUACCCCAAUAGGAAGCACCGGCUAACUACGUGCCAGCUGCCGCGGUAAUACGUAGGGAGCGAGCGUUGUCCGGAUUUACUGGGUGUAAAGGGAGCGUAGGCGGGGGAGAAAGUUGAAGGGUAAUUCUACAGGCUAAACUGGGAACUGCGUUUAAAACUUCUUGUCUUGAGUGUAGUAGAGGCAGGCGGAAUGUCGAGUGUAGCGGUGAAAUGCGUAGAUAUUAGGAGGAACACCAGUGGCGAAGGCGGCCUGCUGGGCUUUAACUGACGUUGAGGCUCGAAAGCGUGGGGAGCAAACAGGAUUAGAUACCCUAGUAGUC
Molecule: ribosomal RNA, 439 nt
Filed under: uncultured bacterium
Lineage: Bacteria
Description: partial 16S ribosomal RNA
Rfam family: Bacterial small subunit ribosomal RNA
Source: RNAcentral